UUCGUCCUCUAUGAUAUUUUCAUGUUCUUUGUGCCUUUGCAACUUCUCCGUUUAAGUCUAACAUAUAUACAUGGUGCAUAUAUCUAUAGAUAUGUUAAUUAGCUACUGAGAAAUACUGAGGAGGUGCAGCUUUCAACUGCAACUUCAAAUCUUAACAUGAUUUUAAUUGUCUUCUACGAUAUCUAAGUUUCGACUAUUUCUGCAUCUCAGUAAACUACAAGAAAUUCUGUACAAGGAUAUAGUCG
This 245-nucleotide long non-coding RNA is filed under the name Daucus carota (carrot). RNAcentral describes it as "long non-coding RNA (DCAR_LNC005668)". Lineage: Eukaryota; Viridiplantae; Streptophyta; Magnoliopsida; Apiales; Apiaceae. The record is from RNAcentral.